RNAcentral lists this ribosomal RNA (460 nucleotides) under uncultured bacterium. RNAcentral's name for it is "partial 16S ribosomal RNA". It matches the Rfam family "Bacterial small subunit ribosomal RNA", at positions 338 to 795 of the family's 1533-position model. The record is from RNAcentral.
CCUACGGGAGGCAGCAGUGAGGAAUAUUGGUCAAUGGACGAGAGCCUGAACCAGCCAAGUAGCGUGAAGGAUGAAGGCUCUAUGGGUUGUAAACUUCUUUUAUAAAGGAAUAAAACGAGGCACGUGUGCCUUUUUGUAUGUACUUUAUGAAUAAGGAUCGGCUAACUCCGUGCCAGCAGCCGCGGUAAUACGGAGGAUCCGAGCGUUAUCCGGAUUUAUUGGGUUUAAAGGGAGCGUAGAUGGGUUGUUAAGUCAGUUGUGAAAGUUUGCGGCUCAACCAUAAAAUUGCAAUUGAUACUGGCAGUCUUGAGUACAGUUGAGGUAGGCGGAAUGCGUGGUGUAGCGGUGAAAUGCUUAGAUAUCACGAAGAACCCCGAUUGCGAAGGCAGCUUACUAAGCUAUGACUGACAUUGAUGCUCGAAAGUGUGGGUAUCAAACAGGAUUAGAUACCCCUGUAGUC